UGGUCUUUCAUGAAAUGAAACUUGGUAUACAAGCUCUUGGUGACAAUGCGCACAACAUAUAGAAGCGUGACAUCAAUAGCCCCGCCUUGUGGCUGUUAGAGGAACACCACCAAGGCAAUUGAUUCUAUCCGAAUUAGACAGAUGGGGACGCCGAACAAGUUAACAGAAACGGCAGGAAAGACCGCAACAUCGCGAUGGAUUCAUCGAUGACCAAUCAGUCGCCCCGACCGCUGGUCAGCAUCACUGCUGACGUCCGGCGGUGGGUUCGUGUCCCCCCGGACCCGGCGAGUGUGUCACCUCGGGCCCCUGCGCACACACACACAGCUGAUAAGGCCUCACCUUUGAAACUCCUGCACGUCCAGCAGCUCCAGCUGCCGGGCCACCUCGUUGGGCAGGUCGUCGUUCACCUGCGUGGCGAAGUACUUCCUCACCUCUCCCACCUCCCUCUGCCAAAACUCCUGAUCCAGGGAGAACAGCUCGUCCAGGUCCACGUCGUCCCGCAGACCCUGGAGGUUCAGGGAGUCGUGGCAGGGCAGGUGGCCCACGGCGGAGGGCAUGGCGCCGGCCUCGCCGUUCA
Scophthalmus maximus (turbot) is the source of this 577-nucleotide long non-coding RNA. RefSeq lists it as uncharacterized. Lineage: Eukaryota; Metazoa; Chordata; Actinopteri; Pleuronectiformes; Scophthalmidae. The record is from RefSeq and is a predicted model, not a curated record. The transcript is spliced from 3 exons.